AUGAUUUGGACAGAUUAUACAAUACCAAAGAGGUAAUUAAUAUGCAUGAAACAAGGAUAGGGUUUAAAUCAAAGAUUGUGUGGUUUUUGCAACAUAGAACAAGAUUUAAACUUGUAAGUCAUUUUUAUUUACAAAAAAAUUUCUUUUCUGGUCCUAAUGGACAGAGAGCAAGUUUAAAUAAUUUUACAGCAAGAUAACAUCCUCAAAACUAUUUUGAAACAAUUCAUUUGAAAUUUAAACCAUUUUCAACCAUUCUGUAAAUAGCUACUUUUUAAGUUGUUCAAAACUGAAAUUAAACAGUGCCAAAAUAUUCUACAAGUUGUGACGAUUCCAGAAAGGUGCGGAACACAAUUUUUGGACAAACGGUUUGAAAGAUAUGAUGCUUUGAAGUUGUAGGGUCUUUUCUGCAAAAUUGCAUUAUCUAAUUCGGCCGAAUUAAAAUAAAAUAAAAUAAAAUAAAUCUCACCACGUGGCAAAACUUGACUGGCCUGGUUCUAGGGUUCCGGCCGGCGGGCGAGCUCGCCGGACGGCGGCGGCGGC
This 540-nucleotide long non-coding RNA is filed under the name Brachypodium distachyon (stiff brome). RNAcentral's name for it is "long non-coding RNA (BDIS_LNC000232)". Lineage: Eukaryota; Viridiplantae; Streptophyta; Magnoliopsida; Poales; Poaceae. The record is from RNAcentral.